UCAGGAGGCCUGGGUUCGAAUCCAGACUUCCCCACUUGCUGGCCGGAAUACAGGGUGUCCUCGUUCCUCCUUUUGUGCCUCAGUUUCCUGAUCUGUGAAUUAGAAAUGUGGUAAUGCCUCAGAAUGCUUAUUAUGAGGCAGGACCUUUGAAAAAAGCACUAAGAAUGCAUGCAUGGUGCUGGAGAGACCUGGGUUUUCUGUAUUACUCCUAGCACCCCAUAUAGAGAUGUACUCAAAAUCUCACAUCAUAAAACAAACCAGCAACCGUCAAGAGCUUCCCAUGAGCCAGCCUUGUGGUAACUCUCCUUCAUUUAACCCUCUUCAUACUCCGGAGAGGUAGAGCUCAUCACCUGUGUUAUACAGAUAAGGAAACUGAGGCUCAGAAAGGGGGCGUGGCUUCCUAAGGUCACAGUGCUGACCAGUGGUAGGUUGGCAUUAGAACCCCACACGCCUGGACUCUGAAGCCCACUCCCCGAAUCCCUGCUCCAGGGACUUCCCGGCUGGGCCUCUAUCUGGCAAGAGAACGUCUCUUAUCAGAAGCCACAAGUGACGGUCAGAUCAAGGCAGUGCUCAGGGCCAGGCGCCAAACAGGGAGCCAGAAGCGGAGGAACGGGCUGCCAGCGGGAGGAGAAGGGCCAGAGGAGACGGAGACCAGAGCCCGGAGCUAGGACUCCGACACCAAGCACAGGUUAGAGGAGCAGGACGCCGAGGCGCUGGAGCCUGGGCCUCUCGCACCUGUCCGCAGUUGGCUCCAGCCACUCCAGCCACGCUGGGAGGAAUUAAGGAAGGAGUGCAUGGGGAAGGAAGAAAAGAGAGAGGGGCCCCUGCUUAGACCGCAAGCUCUGUUCUCUGUGUGAUCAUGGGAAGCAUGCCCCACUGCCACCACCACCAAACCAAGGUGAAGAGACUGCUAGUAGCACCUCUCCCAGAGCCCAGAGUGAUACGAACCCACAACCGACCAGGUGGGUGUUCCUUGAGUGUUUUCCUUGAAUGUCCUCCCUACAUCAUACUCUAGAAACAUCCUAUAAAGGCCUUAGCCCUUAAGAUCUGGAUUUAAUCAGUGGUUGAAACUCAUCCUCAAAAAGCCAUAAGACAGUAAAGCAGAUCAGAACAGUGGAGACCAGCUGGCUUCAUAGUCUGCAGAUGGAAAAACUGAGGCCCAAAGACAAGAGGUGAUAGACCCAUGUGAAAGAGUGACCAACCCAGAAAGAAGACUCUGCCUUCCUGGCUUCCUGUCCAGUGCUUAUGCAGUACUUUCUUUGCCCUCAGUAGAUUUUUCCAUAUGGGGUUCUCUUUUUCCUAGUCAUGUCUGUGUCCUCAGAACCAUCUCUGUGAAGAAUUAAAGGCAAGAGCCUUGAGACAAGCUGGAAGGGGGAAAGGUAACACGCCAGACACCACAGGAGAGUGGCGACAGCAGACCCACAGCAUGGCC
Long non-coding RNA from Ailuropoda melanoleuca (giant panda), 1432 nucleotides. RefSeq lists it as uncharacterized. NCBI's taxonomy places the organism in Eukaryota, Metazoa, Chordata, Mammalia, Carnivora, Ursidae. The record is from RefSeq and is a predicted model, not a curated record. The transcript is spliced from 3 exons.